This 68-nucleotide transfer RNA is filed under the name Stichopus chloronotus. RNAcentral describes it as "tRNA-Tyr". The stretch from base 4 to 63 matches the Rfam family "tRNA". Rfam says of the family: Transfer RNA (tRNA) molecules are approximately 80 nucleotides in length. Their secondary structure includes four short double-helical elements and three loops (D, anti-codon, and T loops). The record is from RNAcentral. Lineage: Eukaryota; Metazoa; Echinodermata; Holothuroidea; Aspidochirotida; Stichopodidae.
GGCAAGAUGACUGAAAUAGUGGAGGAUUGUAAAUCCUUAAAUGUAAGUGAAAACCUUACUCUUCGCCA